CAACCUGCCGAUGACUCGGGGAUAGCCUUUCGAAAGAAAGAUUAAUACCCGAUGGCAUAGUUCUUCCGCAUGGUAGAACUAUUAAAGAAUUUCGGUCAUCGAUGGGGAUGCGUUCCAUUAGGUUGUUGGCGGGGUAACGGCCCACCAAGCCUUCGAUGGAUAGGGGUUCUGAGAGGAAGGUCCCCCACAUUGGAACUGAGACACGGUCCAAACUCCUACGGGAGGCAGCAGUGAGGAAUAUUGGUCAAUGGACGAGAGUCUGAACCAGCCAAGUAGCGUGAAGGAUGACUGCCCUAUGGGUUGUAAACUUCUUUUAUACGGGAAUAAAGUGAGGCACGUGUGCCUUUUCGUAUGUACCGUAUGAAUAAGGAUCGGCUAACUCCGUGCCAGCAGCCGCGGUAAUACGGAGGAUCCGAGCGUUAUCCGGAUUUAUUGGGUUUAAAGGGAGCGUAGGCGGACGCUUAAGUCAGUUGUGAAAGUUUGCGGCUCAACCGUAAAAUUGCAGUUGAUACUGGGUGUCUUGAGUACAGUAGAGGCAGGCGGAAUUCGUGGUGUAGCGGUGAAAUGCUUAGAUAUCACGAAGAACUCCGAUUG
RNAcentral lists this ribosomal RNA (594 nucleotides) under uncultured Bacteroidota bacterium. RNAcentral describes it as "bacterial SSU rRNA". It matches the Rfam family "Bacterial small subunit ribosomal RNA", at positions 122 to 715 of the family's 1533-position model. The record is from RNAcentral. Lineage: Bacteria; Pseudomonadati; Bacteroidota.